GCCCGGAGUACCGGGAAGGUGCUUGAGCCCUGGCUCUGCCUGUCAUCGGUGAGUCACCUUUGGCGAGCCACCUCCGCCUCCCAGAAAUCAAGCCUACGUCAAGCACGGCAAUACAUCUAAAUUGGUUGAUUAAAGCAUCAGGAAGAAAGUGGUGCUUUGCGGCAAUUAAACCAAAGCCACGGGAA
Panthera uncia (snow leopard) is the source of this 185-nucleotide long non-coding RNA. RefSeq lists it as uncharacterized. The transcript has 2 exons. The record is from RefSeq and is a predicted model, not a curated record. Lineage: Eukaryota; Metazoa; Chordata; Mammalia; Carnivora; Felidae.